RNAcentral lists this ribosomal RNA (301 nucleotides) under uncultured bacterium. Its description in RNAcentral is "partial 16S ribosomal RNA". It matches the Rfam family "Bacterial small subunit ribosomal RNA", at positions 509 to 807 of the family's 1533-position model. The record is from RNAcentral.
CAGCCGCCGCGGGAACACGUAGGGGGCAAGCGUUAUCCGGAAUUACUGGGUGUAAAGGGAGCGUAGACGGUUAAACAAGUCUGAAGUGAAAUGCCGGGGCUCAACCCCGGAGCUGCUUUGGGAACUGUAGAACUGGAGUGUCGGAGGGGUAAGCGGAAUUCCCAGUGUAGCGGUGAAAUGCGUAGAUAUUGGGAGGAACACCGGCGGCGAAGGCGGCUUACUGGACGACAACUGACGUUGAGGCUCGAAGGCGUGGGUAGCAAACUGGAUUAGAGACCCCAGUAGUCCCUGUCUCUUAUAC